RNAcentral lists this unclassified non-coding RNA (253 nucleotides) under uncultured Sphingomonadaceae bacterium. RNAcentral describes it as "contains 16S-23S intergenic spacer region". It matches the Rfam family "Bacterial small subunit ribosomal RNA", at positions 524 to 776 of the family's 1533-position model. The record is from RNAcentral. Lineage: Bacteria; Pseudomonadati; Pseudomonadota; Alphaproteobacteria; Sphingomonadales; Sphingomonadaceae.
UACGGAGGGGGCUAGCGUUGUUCGGAAUUACUGGGCGUAAAGCGCGCGUAGGCGGCUUUGUAAGUUAGAGGUGAAAGCCCGGAGCUCAACUCCGGAACUGCCUUUAAGACUGCAUCGCUAGAAUCCAGGAGAGGUGAGUGAAAUUCCGAGUGUAGAGGUGAAAUUCGUAGAUAUUCGGAAGAACACCAGUGGCGAAGGCGGCUCACUGGACACAUAUUGACGCUGAGGUGCGAAAGCGUGGGGAGCAAACAGG